ACGAACGACAGUAAAACUAGAAUAGAACGACAAUAAAACUCUACUAAAUUUUAUUUAGUAGAGAUAUUUACUAAACAAAAACCACAAACGAACUGAUGAAAACUUAUUAUGAUUAAAAUCGUAGAGAACUAAAAUUAUAUCGAGCAGGUGAAUAGAUUUAAUUAAGAAGAACAUAUUUACCAUUAGUUAUAGUAAGAAAUUAGAACUGAAAUGAAAAGAUUCAUAAAUUUUAUAAAGCUAUUGUUGCUAUAAAUGAACUGAAACCUAUCAAUAUCCAAUGAAAAUAUAAUAUAAAAAGAGAAUCGUUUUUUGAAAGAUGUCAAUUAAAUAUUUUUAAAUAUGAGAAAAAAGGAGAUGGUAAAGAAAUAUUCAAGCAACUUUUGAACAAAUCGAAGAGAAAAAAAGUAAACAAACUGGAUCUAAAAACGAACGACAAAAAAAGACAUGAAAAACAUUAGAGGACAAAACAAUAGACAACGAAACAUUGUUGAUGUGAAAAGCAGCGACAAAGACAAAUAUAAUCGAUAACGAUAGAGACAUCAAUACUGAAAUCGAGAAAAAUAUGGUCGGAAUUGUGUGAAGACAUACCAAGGAGAAAGAAAUGUAAACAAAUUAAAUCUAUAAACGAGCAACUGAAGUCAAUAACAUUAAAGGACAACGAUGGUUAAUAGAAAAACUGAACAGGAGAAUAUUGUAAUGUAAUAACGGAUGACAAGUGCAUGACGAUUUUACUUGUAUUAAAUAUUAACAGUGGAGAUCUCUUAAUCGAAGAAGAGACAUUUAUUACACAGAAGGACCAAUAAGAUAUCAUUUUAUUGAAAGAUAUUAACAUUGAACUUUCUGAAGAAUAAAACAAUAGAAUCGUAAGUAUUUUGAAUCGUCUAUAUUUUUUAUAUAGAUCUUUUUAACAAGUAGGUUAUACCGAUAUUGCCAAGAAGAAUGGCAAUUAUUGAUGGAUACGACAUCGUUACAUUAUUCACUAUAUUAAGUAUUCCAACAAGAACAGCAAUAAAUAAUAAAGCAAUUGAUGGAAACCAACAUCAUCCAAGAGAAUGAUACUCAAUUUUUUAAUCCGGUAAUGUUGGAUCAAAAAACAAAACAGGCUAUAAACGAACAUGCAAAGACUACCUAGUAUAAAUCGUAAGAUAGUUGAAUAACAAUAUCCUAUAGUGAUAAAGAAUUAAUUGAACAGACUAUGAGAUAUAAACUAAAAUACUACAGCUAAUUUAAGUAGCGGAUACUAUCAGGUCUAUGAGGUUUCGUACAUCAUGAUAAGGAUUCUGUUAUAUCUGGAUUCAUCAAGUAGUCGCAAAGCAGUCUUUUGCUUAUUUUUGCGCUAGAUCCCGACAUUUUCGAAAGUUUAUAAUCCAUUUGCUUUUCAACGUUAUCUUGCAUCAAGAACAUGUGUUUCACAUAACAAAUGAAAUGGUGAGGUGCAUAUACUUCUAUAUCAUACACAAUUUAGGUAUAAUUGAAAUAUAUUCAGAAAUUUAAAUCAUUCAUCUCUGAGUUCAGAAUAUUUCUGUAAAAGAAUAUUUCUCCAAAAGAUGUGAAAGACUUGCUAACGGUAAAUUGCAACUAUCAUUUUGCAGAACUCAUCGGUCCGCAUUUAAUGUAAACUAAGACCUUACUAUUUACGGGCUUACAUUUUAAAAUCUUUUUUUUAACCUUACUCUUUACAAACAAUAAUAUAAAAAACAACUUAGUAUAUUUUCUAAAACUAAGAUCAA
Molecule: long non-coding RNA, 1730 nt
Organism: Vespa velutina
Lineage: Eukaryota; Metazoa; Arthropoda; Insecta; Hymenoptera; Vespidae
Exons: 4
Source: RefSeq, a predicted model, not a curated record